RNAcentral lists this ribosomal RNA (465 nucleotides) under Vreelandella stevensii. Its description in RNAcentral is "partial 16S ribosomal RNA". It matches the Rfam family "Bacterial small subunit ribosomal RNA", at positions 338 to 795 of the family's 1533-position model. Lineage: Bacteria; Pseudomonadati; Pseudomonadota; Gammaproteobacteria; Oceanospirillales; Halomonadaceae. The record is from RNAcentral.
CCUACGGGAGGCAGCAGUGGGGAAUAUUGGACAAUGGGGGCAACCCUGAUCCAGCCAUGCCGCGUGUGUGAAGAAGGCCCUCGGGUUGUAAAGCACUUUCAGUGAGGAAGAACGCCUGGUGGUUAAUACCCAUCGGGAAAGACAUCACUCACAGAAGAAGCACCGGCUAACUCCGUGCCAGCAGCCGCGGUAAUACGGAGGGUGCGAGCGUUAAUCGGAAUUACUGGGCGUAAAGCGCGCGUAGGUGGCUUGAUAAGCCGGUUGUGAAAGCCCCGGGCUCAACCUGGGAACGGCAUCCGGAACUGUCAAGCUAGAGUGCAGGAGAGGAAGGUAGAAUUCCCGGUGUAGCGGUGAAAUGCGUAGAGAUCGGGAGGAAUACCAGUGGCGAAGGCGGCCUUCUGGACUGACACUGACACUGAGGUGCGAAAGCGUGGGUAGCAAACAGGAUUAGAUACCCGGGUAGUC